Molecule: ribosomal RNA, 465 nt
Filed under: Vreelandella stevensii
Lineage: Bacteria; Pseudomonadati; Pseudomonadota; Gammaproteobacteria; Oceanospirillales; Halomonadaceae
Description: partial 16S ribosomal RNA
Rfam family: Bacterial small subunit ribosomal RNA
Source: RNAcentral
CCUACGGGGGGCUGCAGUGGGGAAUAUUGGACAAUGGGGGCAACCCUGAUCCAGCCAUGCCGCGUGUGUGAAGAAGGCCCUCGGGUUGUAAAGCACUUUCAGUGAGGAAGAACGCCUGGUGGUUAAUACCCAUCAGGAAAGACAUCACUCACAGAAGAAGCACCGGCUAACUCCGUGCCAGCAGCCGUGGUAAUACGGAGGGUGCGAGCGUUAAUCGGAAUUACUGGGCGUAAAGCGCGCGUAGGUGGCUUGAUAAGCCGGUUGUGAAAGCCCCGGGCUCAACCUGGGAACGGCAUCCGGAACUGUCAAGCUAGAGUGCAGGAGAGGAAGGUAGAAUUCCCGGUGUAGCGGUGAAAUGCGUAGAGAUCGGGAGGAAUACCAGUGGCGAAGGCGGCCUUCUGGACUGACACUGACACUGAGGUGCGAAAGCGUGGGUAGCAAACAGGAUUAGAUACCCUGGUAGUC